Molecule: ribosomal RNA, 707 nt
Filed under: uncultured Bacilli bacterium
Lineage: Bacteria; Bacillati; Bacillota; Bacilli
Description: bacterial SSU rRNA
Rfam family: Bacterial small subunit ribosomal RNA
Source: RNAcentral
AACGCUUCUUUCCUCCCGAGUGCUUGCACUCAAUUGGAAAGAGGAGUGGCGGACGGGUGAGUAACACGUGGGUAACCUACCCAUCAGAGGGGGAUAACACUUGGAAACAGGUGCUAAUACCGCAUAACAGUUUAUGCCGCAUGGCAUAAGAGUGAAAGGUGCUUUCGGGUGUCGCUGAUGGAUGGACCCGCGGUGCAUUAGCUAGUUGGUGAGGUAACGGCUCACCAAGGCCACGAUGCAUAGCCGACCUGAGAGGGUGAUCGGCCACACUGGGACUGAGACACGGCCCAGACUCCUACGGGAGGCAGCAGUAGGGAAUCUUCGGCAAUGGACGAAAGUCUGACCGAGCAAUGCCGCGUGAGUGAAGAAGGUUUUCGGAUCGUAAAACUCUGUUGUUAGAGAAGAACAAGGACGUUAGUAACUGAACGUCCCCUGACGGUAUCUAACCAGAAAGCCACGGCUAACUACGUGCCAGCAGCCGCGGUAAUACGUAGGUGGCAAGCGUUGUCCGGAUUUAUUGGGCGUAAAGCGAGCGCAGGCGGUUUCUUAAGUCUGAUGUGAAAGCCCCCGGCUCAACCGGGGAGGGUCAUUGGAAACUGGGAGACUUGAGUGCAGAAGAGGAGAGUGGAAUUCCAUGUGUAGCGGUGAAAUGCGUAGAUAUAUGGAGGAACACCAGUGGCGAAGGCGGCUCUCUGGUCUGUAACUGA